UUGAACGCUGGCGGCAGGCCUAACACAUGCAAGUCGAGCGGAUGAAGGGAGCUUGCUCCUGGAUUCAGCGGCGGACGGGUGAGUAAUGCCUAGGAAUCUGCCUGGUAGUGGGGGAUAACGUCCGGAAACGGGCGCUAAUACCGCAUACGUCCUGAGGGAGAAAGUGGGGGAUCUUCGGACCUCACGCUAUCAGAUGAGCCUAGGUCGGAUUAGCUAGUUGGUGGGGUAAAGGCCUACCAAGGCGACGAUCCGUAACUGGUCUGAGAGGAUGAUCAGUCACACUGGAACUGAGACACGGUCCAGACUCCUACGGGAGGCAGCAAUGGGGAAUAUUGGACAAUGGGCGAAAGCCUGAUCCAGCCAUGCCGCGUGUGUGAAGAAGGUCUUCGGAUUGUAAAGCACUUUAAGUUGGGAGGAAGGGCAGUAAGUUAAUACCUUGCUGUUUUGACGUUACCAACAGAAUAAGCACCGGCUAACUUCGUG
Molecule: ribosomal RNA, 483 nt
Filed under: uncultured bacterium
Lineage: Bacteria
Description: partial 16S ribosomal RNA
Rfam family: Bacterial small subunit ribosomal RNA
Source: RNAcentral